UAGGGAAUCUUCCGCAAUGGACGAAAGUCUGACGGAGCAACGCCGCGUGAGUGAAGAAGGACUUCGGUUCGUAAAACUCUGUUGUUAGGGAAGAAAAAAUGUAUAGUAACUAUAUACAAAAGAGACGGUACCUAACCAGAAAGCCACGGCUAACUACGUGCCAGCAGCCGCGGUAAUACGUAGGUGGCAAGCGUUGUCCGGAAUUAUUGGGCGUAAAGCGCGCGCAGGUGGUUUAGAAAGUCUGAUGUGAAAGCCCACGGCUCAACCGUGGAGGGUCAUUGGAAACUAAUAAACUUGAGUGCAGGAGAGAAAAGUGGAAUUCCUAGUGUAGCGGUGAAAUGCGUAGAGAUUAGGAGGAACACCGGUGGCGAAAGCGGCUUUUUGGCCUGCAACUGACACUGAGGCGCGAAAGCGUGGGGAGCAAACAGG
RNAcentral lists this ribosomal RNA (429 nucleotides) under Verrucomicrobiota bacterium. RNAcentral's name for it is "Verrucomicrobia bacterium partial 16S ribosomal RNA". It matches the Rfam family "Bacterial small subunit ribosomal RNA", at positions 355 to 776 of the family's 1533-position model. The record is from RNAcentral. Lineage: Bacteria; Pseudomonadati; Verrucomicrobiota.